RNAcentral lists this ribosomal RNA (444 nucleotides) under uncultured bacterium. RNAcentral describes it as "partial 16S ribosomal RNA". It matches the Rfam family "Bacterial small subunit ribosomal RNA", at positions 339 to 795 of the family's 1533-position model. The record is from RNAcentral.
CUACGGGGGGCUGCAGUGGGGAAUAUUGCACAAUGGGCGAAAGCCUGAUGCAGCAACGCCGCGUGGGGGACGAAGGCCUUCGGGUUGUAAACCUCUUUUAGUAGGGAAGAAGCGCAAGUGACGGUACCUACAGAAAAAGCACCGGCUAACUACGUGCCAGCAGCCGGGGUAAUACGUAGGGUGCAAGCGUUGUCCGGAAUUAUUGGGCGUAAAGAGCUCGUAGGCGGUUUGUCGCGUCUGCUGUGAAAAUCCGAGGCUCAACCUCGGACCUGCAGUGGGUACGGGCAAACUAGAGUGCGGUAGGGGAGAUUGGAAUUACUGGUGUAGCGGUGGAAUGCGCAGAUAUCAGGAGGAACACCAAUGGCGAAGGCAGAUCUCUGGGCCGUAACUGACGCUGAGGAGCGAAAGCGUGGGGAGCGAACAGGAUUAGAUACCCCGGUAGUC